This 660-nucleotide long non-coding RNA is filed under the name Equus asinus (donkey). RNAcentral describes it as "lncRNA (ENSEASG00005026552.1)". Lineage: Eukaryota; Metazoa; Chordata; Mammalia; Perissodactyla; Equidae. The record is from RNAcentral.
UGGUUCUUCACUGAAGGCAAGACAGACCCAUAAGCAACCAAUUCUAAUGCUAAGGUCCAAGCGCAGAAGUGGAAGUGUGUGUGAGGUUCCGUGUGAGCACAGAAGUGAGAGGGCUAAUUCUGCUUGUGAGACUUACAGGGGAUUCACAACCUCUGGAGGAGGCUUUGCCAGGCAGAGAAGAGAAAAGAAGAUAUUUGAAGUCAAACAAGCAGUUUAUUCACUGGCUUGGAGGGGGAAAUUUGGACAUAGACAUGCACACAGAGAGAACGCCGUAUGAAGAUGAAGGCAGAGAUCGAGGUGGUGCUUCUACCAGCCAAGGACCACAAAGAUAGCCAGCAGAUGAGCAGCUCGGAGAGAAACAUGGAACAGAUUCUCCCUCCCAGCCCUCAGAAGGAACCAACCCUGUGGACACCGUGACUUUGGACUUCUAGCCUCCAAAACUCUGGCCCGUGAGUCCGAGUCCUAUUCAUCUUUUCUUUCCACUGGUGCUUAAUAUGGUGCAAGGCAUGCAGGAGAUGCCCAGUUAAUGUUGACUGAUGGAAAUUAUAAAGCGCUAAAGGAGCAUGACACCAUCCACGAGCAUUCGUUAAGCACCAGCGAUGUCGUCUCUGAACUCAAGGCACUCAUACUACAGUACAGCAAAUACGAAAAAGAUUCAAG